ACAGCUUGCCAGAGUGGUUAAUGGGUAUGACUCGAAUAAAAAGAUAUCAUAUGUGUUCGCACGCGCAGGUUCAAAUCCUGCAGCUGUCG
Tothia fuscella is the source of this 89-nucleotide non-coding RNA. The record is from the annotation of a GenBank genome assembly. Lineage: Eukaryota; Fungi; Ascomycota; Dothideomycetes; Venturiales; Cylindrosympodiaceae.